GCAAAGCAAUUUUCAUUUCUUCCACCAACGUCAUAAAUCCACCCACCAAGUUAUGAUUCAAUACUGCGAUCUGGGGAGCCCAUGAUUCUCCAUGAGUCCCCUGUCCAUUUUAUGAUCCAAGAAACCAUUAGGGAGCAAUGAGUUCAAAUCUGGGUCCGUCUCACUGGGUUGAGAUGGCUAAGCUUCGGUCAAUAGAAGGUGGAUUUCGCACUACCCACAAGAACUUUUGGCCACUUGCUAUUUCUCUUAAUUGUUCCAUUUGAGAACCUCCCCAAGCUCCAGGAACACAGAAGGACAAGUAGACAACACUUUAACUCGGUUGCGACUCGAACCAGGUUAAACGGACUCGAACCAGGUUGAGAUGGCUAACCAGGUCGAUAUAGUAAAGAGAUGUGGAACAACUUGGUAUGCAGAAUCCAUCUG
This 423-nucleotide unclassified non-coding RNA is filed under the name Hevea brasiliensis (rubber tree). Lineage: Eukaryota; Viridiplantae; Streptophyta; Magnoliopsida; Malpighiales; Euphorbiaceae. The record is from RNAcentral.